This 232-nucleotide ribosomal RNA is filed under the name uncultured bacterium. RNAcentral's name for it is "partial 16S ribosomal RNA". It matches the Rfam family "Bacterial small subunit ribosomal RNA", at positions 1260 to 1500 of the family's 1533-position model. The record is from RNAcentral.
AGGUGGAGCAGAUCCCUAAAAGACCAUCCCAAUUCGGAUUGCAGGCUGCAACCCGCCUGUAUGAAGUUGGAAUCGCUAGUAAUCGCGGAUCAGCAUGCCGCGGUGAAUACGUUCCCGGGCCUUGUACACACCGCCCGUCACACCAUGAGAGCCGGGGGCGCCUGAAGUCCGGGACCGCGAGGACCGGCCUAGGGCGAAACUGGUAACUGGGGCUAAGUCGUAACAAGGUACC